GAUGAACGCUGGCGGCGUGCCUAAUACAUGCAAGUCGAGCGAACGGACGAGAAGCUUGCUUCUCUGAUGUUAGCGGCGGACGGGUGAGUAACACGUGGAUAACCUACCUAUAAGACUGGGAUAACUUCGGGAAACCGGAGCUAAUACCGGAUAAUAUUUUGAACGGCAUGGUUCAAAAGUAAAAGACGGUCUUGCUGUCACUUAUAGAUGGAUCCGCGCUGCAUUAGCUAGUUGGUAAGGUAACGGCUUACCAAGGCAACGAUGCAUAGCCGACCUGAGAGGGUGAUCGGCCACACUGGAACUGAGACACGGUCCAGACUACUACGGGAGGCAGCAGUAGGGAAUCUUCCGCAAUGGGCGAAAGCCUGACGGAGCAACGCCGCGUGAGUGAUGAAGGUCUUCGGAUCGUAAAACUCUGUUAUUAGGGAAGAACAUAUGUGUAAGUAACUGUGCACAUCUUGACGGUACCUAAUCAGAAAGCCACGGCUAACUACGUG
This 497-nucleotide ribosomal RNA is filed under the name uncultured bacterium. Its description in RNAcentral is "partial 16S ribosomal RNA". It matches the Rfam family "Bacterial small subunit ribosomal RNA", at positions 28 to 507 of the family's 1533-position model. The record is from RNAcentral.